Molecule: long non-coding RNA, 1055 nt
Organism: Eublepharis macularius
Lineage: Eukaryota; Metazoa; Chordata; Lepidosauria; Squamata; Eublepharidae
Exons: 2
Source: RefSeq, a predicted model, not a curated record
AAUCCUCCAGAGUGUCACAUCACCGGGAGAGCGUAAUGCCAGUCCUUGGAUUGCCAAAUCUGGAUUGGGCAAGACUUCUUCACGCUUGUGGGAGUGUGAAACAGCUUUCCUUUUACCUCCUCUCUGCUGUUCCUUCCACUAUCAAAACUCUGAUUAUAAGCACCAAACUCAUUGAUGCUCGAUACUGGAAACAGCAACAAAAUGCCAGAAGUUGCAGAACGGUUGAAGAAAAUUAAUGAUCUUUUCUUUAUGACACCAGGACACUCACUUUGUCGGAGAAAGACUAAUGUUUAAUUUAAUUUGACUUCUUGUGGUCUCCUGUUAUUAACUGAACUGAGUCUAGUAGAUAAAGUGUUUGUUGUCUAAACAUCUAUUUUCCUUGUUUUGUCCUCUGAUGUUGGUCAUACUGUGUGUUUAAGCAUUUUGUAAUUAUGAGAAAAUAUUUUCUUAAAAAAAGAAACCAGACCAGUGACAAAUCAAGCUCAGUGUUCCCUAUGCUGACUGGAAGCAGCUCUCUGAGGGCUCAGAGGAAGGCCUUUUCGUAGCACUUGCUAUCUGACCUCAUAACUGGAGAUGCCAAGGUUUGAAUCCGGGAUCUUCUGAAUGCGAAGCCAGUCAAGAACGGAAUCUCUGGAAUCUCUACAAUUACCUGAGCAGAUUCCCCACGCUACACCAUUCUGACAAAAAUAGUUCAUACAAAAAUUUCAUAUAUCAGUGGCAGGGAAAUGACAUUCAAAUAGAACGGCCAAAGAAUAAAUAGUAGUCAAAGAAAUUUCUUAAAGUCCCAAAACGGAGAUGCAGUAACAGUCUCUUGAAGAACAGUGAUGGACCUUUUUUCCAAGGAAAUGUUUAUAAUGAUGCUCUCAUCUUAUUUUAAUAUCGUUUGGACCGAACAAGGAAAGGUGGCAGACAUCAAGGAAUGAAGACCUGGCAAGGAGCCGGUCAUCAAAACGCUUGUUUCCAAACUGCAUCAGGGGGUCAACAUACCUCCCAGCCAAAUCUCCAGAAUCUGCAAUAAAAUCCAUUGUAUCUAAUAAAAUCAUAAAGUCUUUUUA